AGUUGAAAAGGGUGGUGAAAAUGGAGGAAGUGGAGUACUACACAUUGGUGGGGGUGGUGAAGAUGGAGGAGACAAGGCAAUAGUAGUUGAAAAAGGUGGUGAGGUUGGAGGAAGUGGGGUAGUAGUCGUUGAAGAGGGUGGUGAAGGUGGAGGAGGAUGUGGGGCAGUAGUUGCUGAAGAGGGUGGUGAAGGUGGAGGAGGAAGUGGGACACUAGCUGUUGAAGAGGAUGGUAAAGACGGAGAAGGAAUUAGGGCACUAGAUGUCAAUGGGGGAGAUAGAGAUGGAGGUGGAGGAGGUGGGACACUAGUCAUUGAAAAGGAUGGUGAAGGUAGAAAAGGAAGUGGGGCAAUAGUCGUCAAAGAGGGUGGUGAAG
RNAcentral lists this long non-coding RNA (374 nucleotides) under Gossypium barbadense (sea-island cotton). RNAcentral describes it as "long non-coding RNA (GBAR_LNC009852)". The record is from RNAcentral. Lineage: Eukaryota; Viridiplantae; Streptophyta; Magnoliopsida; Malvales; Malvaceae.